This is a long non-coding RNA of Suricata suricatta (meerkat), 1010 nucleotides long. RefSeq lists it as uncharacterized. Lineage: Eukaryota; Metazoa; Chordata; Mammalia; Carnivora; Herpestidae. The transcript has 4 exons. The record is from RefSeq and is a predicted model, not a curated record.
GGCAUCUAGGAAACUAAGGGAAGAAUUAAUGGACCAAAACAUCCAGAGAGCCCAGUGCAUCCCAGACGAACCUAUUGGUAUUGUCAAUUCUUUGGGCAUCUCUAGAGGGAGCAGCAGAUUCGGGACGUAAGGGAGACAAAGACCGAGUAAAUAGAUGACAUUCUUGUCUUUGGUGAAUUUUGGUAAUGAAACUAAAGAGAACGGAGCAUGUUCACUGAUCAGGAAGACUGAGCUUAAAGUUGUAUACAUUGGAAAUGCUAAAUGAAGAAUUAAAUAUCCUAAGGGAUAUUUAAUUGGCAAGUGAGAAAGGUCAAGGUGUGAUUAUGCCAACGGGUGGCUAAGGGCAAGUCAAACAAAAAUUUUUUGAGCACUGGCAGUCAAGAGUGUGUGUGGAGUAGUUACUCCUCCAGGAAGUUGUCAUUCUGGCGUCUGUUGACUCCUUGUGGAGACUGCUACAGGGGAAGCCUGCAGAGCCUGAGCGGACACCACUCAGGACAGAAGUUCUUUUCCUCACUUGACAGAAGAUUUGCACAGGACAAACCAGGCUGACAGAGGACAAGUCAGCCAGAUGUUGAGGGUGUGACUAUGCUCCUGACGUCAGUCUCUGGCCAAAGAUGAACACAGAUGCAUUCACCAAUACAGAAAAGGUCAAGCACAUCUUUCAGAACGAGCAGGCAGUAUCCCUCUGUCCCCGACGUUCAUACAAGGUAUGCUGUCCUGCUUGGGCCUGGUGGCCUCUACCAAAUCCAAGGACUCUAGCUCAACGCCCAACAGACCAAUUGUCCAACUUAUGAAGUCAGGACCACAACGGGCCCCAUGGUUGGCAGGUUCAAGCAAAGUGUCAAGGAGUAAAUAAGGCACGGAAAAUAGCUAAUCUCUUCAUCCCAGGAAGCUGAGUUAAGGGAUGGGAAAUGCUGGCAAAAAGAGCAGUGGAAAAACUGACACCAACUAUGCUUGGACUGUGGCUGCCUUGUUAACGGAGAAUGGACCUUCUAUGGGGCUCAAUGGGA